GUCAGAACUGUCGACUCUAUGCAGACUUGUGGCACUGCCUAUCAAAUAUAAUUCAAGCUGAGGAGAUGAAAGACUUUGGUGAUGGAAGCCACAGGGCUUUAGUUCUCCACUAAGAAUAGGUGUGCUCGGUUGUCUUGGACACUCCUAAUGUCCCCUGUGACAGGUCAG
Schistocerca piceifrons (Central American locust) is the source of this 168-nucleotide long non-coding RNA. RefSeq lists it as uncharacterized. The transcript is spliced from 3 exons. The record is from RefSeq and is a predicted model, not a curated record. NCBI's taxonomy places the organism in Eukaryota, Metazoa, Arthropoda, Insecta, Orthoptera, Acrididae.